RNAcentral lists this ribosomal RNA (483 nucleotides) under Alternaria alternata. Its description in RNAcentral is "SSU rRNA". It matches the Rfam family "Eukaryotic small subunit ribosomal RNA", at positions 65 to 536 of the family's 1831-position model. The record is from RNAcentral. Lineage: Eukaryota; Fungi; Ascomycota; Dothideomycetes; Pleosporales; Pleosporaceae.
AUCCCCCCGCGCCUCGAAGAGACAUUAUACCGUGAAACUGCGAAUGGCUCAUUAAAUCAGUUAUCGUUUAUUUGAUAAUACCUUACUACUUGGAUAACCGUGGUAAUUCUAGAGCUAAUACAUGCUGAAAAUCCCGACUUCGGAAGGGAUGUGUUUAUUAGAUAAAAAACCAAUGCCCUUCGGGGCUUUUUGGUGAUUCAUGAUAACUUUACGGAUCGCAUAGCCUUGCGCUGGCGACGGUUCAUUCAAAUUUCUGCCCUAUCAACUUUCGAUGGUAAGGUAUUGGCUUACCAUGGUUUCAACGGGUAACGGGGAAUUAGGGUUCGAUUCCGGAGAGGGAGCCUGAGAAACGGCUACCACAUCCAAGGAAGGCAGCAGGCGCGCAAAUUACCCAAUCCCGACACGGGGAGGUAGUGACAAUAAAUACUGAUACAGGGCUCUUUUGGGUCUUGUAAUUGGAAUGAGUACAAUUUAAACCUCUUA